AUUUUACUUUACCAAAUUGAGAACGCAAUAUUCUAGGACUAUUUAAAUUUGAACUUAAUUGCUUGCUUUAAAUUUAAACCCUAAUCUUCAUGAUAAUGUUCAUAAAAAUCUAGAGCUCAAUCUAAAAAUCAAGACACAUAACAGCAGAAAAAAAGGGAUUGAUUGUACAAAAAAAUCAUGGAAGUUACAGUUGUGUAUAAAUCUAAGUUCAACAACAUAGUAAAUCAAAUAAUAAAGAUAAGAUGAGAAGUGAAGAUAAUCCACCUUGGCUCUUUUACGAAAGACAUCAACAACUUCAGGAUUUGCAAUCAUAUCAACAUAU
Molecule: unclassified non-coding RNA, 322 nt
Filed under: Hevea brasiliensis (rubber tree)
Lineage: Eukaryota; Viridiplantae; Streptophyta; Magnoliopsida; Malpighiales; Euphorbiaceae
Source: RNAcentral